AUGAACGCUGGCGGCGUGCCUAAUACAUGCAAGUCGCGCGAACGGACGAGAAGCUUGCUUCUCUGAUGUAGCGGCGGACGGGUGAGUAACACGUGGAUAACCUACCUAUAAGACUGGGAUAACUUCGGGAAACCGUAGCUAAUACCGGAUAAUAUUUUGAACCGCAUGGUUCAAAAGUGAAAGACGGUCUUGCUGUCACUUAUAGAUGGAUCCGCGCUGCAUUAGCUAGUUGGUAAGGUAACGGCUUACCAAGGCAACGAUGCAUAGCCGACCUGAGAGGGUGAUCGGCCACACUGGAACUGAGACACGGUCCAGACUCCUACGGGAGGCAGCAGUAGGGAAUCUUCCGCAAUGGGCGAAAGCCUGACGGAGCAACGCCGCGUGAGUGAUGAAGGUCUUCGGAUCGUAAAACUCUGUUAUUAGGGAAGAACAUAUGUGUAAGUAACUGUGCACAUCUUGACGGUACCUAAUCAGAAAGCCACGGCUAACUACGUG
Molecule: ribosomal RNA, 495 nt
Filed under: uncultured bacterium
Lineage: Bacteria
Description: partial 16S ribosomal RNA
Rfam family: Bacterial small subunit ribosomal RNA
Source: RNAcentral